UUGCCCUACGGGAGGCAGCAGUGAGGAAUAUUGGGCAAUGGAGGCAACUCUGACCCAGCCAUGCCGCGUGAGUGAAGAAGGUUUUCGGAUUGUAAAGCUCUUUCGGAUGUGACGAUGAUGACGGUAGCAUCUAAAGAAGCCCCGGCUAACUACGUGCCAGCAGCCGCGGUAAUACGUAGGGAGCGAGCGUUAUCCGGAAUUAUUGGGUGUAAAGGGUGCGUAGACGGGAAAACAAGUUAGUUGUGAAAUCCCUCGGCUUAACUGAGGAACUGCAACUAAAACUAUUUUUCUUGAGUGCAGGAGAG
RNAcentral lists this ribosomal RNA (305 nucleotides) under uncultured bacterium. RNAcentral describes it as "bacterial SSU rRNA". It matches the Rfam family "Bacterial small subunit ribosomal RNA", at positions 334 to 656 of the family's 1533-position model. The record is from RNAcentral.